RNAcentral lists this ribosomal RNA (299 nucleotides) under uncultured bacterium. Its description in RNAcentral is "partial 16S ribosomal RNA". It matches the Rfam family "Bacterial small subunit ribosomal RNA", at positions 475 to 776 of the family's 1533-position model. The record is from RNAcentral.
CUAUGCGCCUUGCCAGCCCGCUCAGGUGUGCCAGCCGCCGCGGUAAUACGUAGGUGGCGAGCGUUGUCCGGAAUUACUGGGCGUAAAGGGCGCGUAGGUGGGCGCUUAAGUCAGGUGUGAAAACUCCGGGCUCAACCUGGAGACUGCACUUGAAACUGGGUGUCUUGAGGGCAGGAGAGGAAAGUGGAAUUCCUAGUGUAGCGGUGAAAUGCGUAGAUAUUAGGAGGAACACCAGUGGCGAAGGCGACUUUCUGGACUGUACCUGACGCUGAGGCGCGAAAGCGUGGGUAGCGAACGGG